Long non-coding RNA from Serinus canaria (Common canary), 4639 nucleotides. RefSeq lists it as uncharacterized. The transcript has 3 exons. The record is from RefSeq and is a predicted model, not a curated record. Lineage: Eukaryota; Metazoa; Chordata; Aves; Passeriformes; Fringillidae.
UUUUUUAUUUUAUUGCCCUUUCUACUGGUUUUUCUUAUUGCCCUUUUUCCUGAUUUUUUUUUUAUUUUUUUGCCCUUUCUCCUGAUGUUUUUUUUUUAUUUUAUUGCCCUUUCUCCUGAUUUUUUAUUGCUCUUUCUCCUGAUUUUUUAGGAUUUAUUGCCCUUCCUCCUGAUUUUUUACUGCCCUUUCUCCUGAUUUUUUAAAAUUUUAUUGCCCUUUCUCCUGAUUUUACCAGUGAAGGCCACUCCUCCACUUCCUGGGAACACACCCAUGGCAACUCCCAGCGUUCCACCUCAGAGCAGCCCUUGGAGAAGCAGAGUGUGUAAAAGAUGAGUUUCUGCUCCAGCUCCCUCAGCACCCCCUGCUCCUCCUCAAUCCCUCCCAAAGCCACCUGCAGAGCCACCCUCACCUCCAGCAGUGCCAGUCCUGGGGGAGGGUCCCAAACUGGGAUCCAUCCCUCAGGGGAGAGCCCUUGGAGCUCAGCAGAAUCUGGCCAAGGUCUGGGACUGCCAAAGAGCCCCUGGAGCUCAGCAGGAUCUGGCCAAGGUCUGGGACUGCCAAAGAGCCCCUGGAGCUCAGCAGGACCCGGCCAAGGUCUGGGACUGCCAAAGAGCUCCUGGAGCUCAGCAGGAUCUGGCCAAGGUCUGGGACUGCUCUGCUCCCCCAAGGCCCUCACAGGAAACUCCCUCAAGUCCCUCAGUUAUUUCCAAAGCUCCUGCCCUGGAAUGUUCUUCAGGUUGGGGUCAUGGUGAUGGAACAGUGAUGUUCAGGGAUCAUGGUGAUGGAUCGGGGAAGUUCUCCAGAUUGGGUCAUGGAGAUGGAUCAGUGACGUUCUGGGAUCAUGGUGAUGGAUCAGUGAUAUUUUGGGAUCAUGGAGAUGGAUCAGUGAUGUUCUGGGAUCAUGGUGAUGGAUCAGGGAUGUUCUCCAGGUUGGGAUCAUGGAGAUGGAUCAGGGAUGUCUUGGGCCCAUGAUCAUGGAUCGGGGAUGUUCUCCAGGUUGGGGUCAUGGUGAUGGAUCAGGGAUGUUCUGGGAUCAUGGGGAUGGAUCAGUGAUGUUCUGGGAUCAUGGUGAUGGAUCAGGGAUGUUCUGGGAUCAUGGUGAUGGAUCAGUGAUGUUCUGGGAUUAUGGUGAUGGAUCAGGGAUGUUCUGGGAUCAUGGGAUGGAUCAGUGAUGUUCUGGGAUCAUGGUGAUGGAUCAGGGAUGUUCUGGGAUCAUGGUGAUGGAUCAGGGAUGUUUUGGGAUCAUGGUGAUGGAUCAGUGAUGUUUUGGGAUCAUGGUGAUGGAUCAGGGAUGUUCUCCAGAUUGGGUCAUGGAGAUGGAUCAGUGAUGUUUUGGGAUCAUGGUGAUGGAUCAGGGAUGUUCUCCAGGUCGGGAUCAUGGUGAUGGAUCAGUGAUGUUUUGGGCCCAUGGUAAUGGAUCGGGGAUGUUCUCCAGGUUUGGGAUCAUGGUGAAGGGUCAGUGAAGUUCUCCAGCUUGGGGUCAUGGUGAUGGAUCAGAGAUGUUUUGCGCUCAUGCUGAUGGAUCAGGGAUGUUCUGGGAUCAUGGUGAUGGAUCAGGGAUGUUCUGGGAUCAUGGAGAUGGAUCAGUGAUGUUCUCCAGGUUGGGGUCAUGGAGAUGAAUCAGGGAUGUUUCGGGAUCAUGGAGAUGGAUCAGUGAUGUUUUGGGAUCAUGGUGAUGGAUCAGUGAUGUUCUCCAGGCUGGGAUUAUGGAGAUGGAUCAGUGAUGUUUUGGGAUCAUGGUGAUGGAUCAGUGAUGUUCUCCAGGUUGGGAUCAUGGAGAUGAAUCAGGGAUGUUUCGGGAUCAUGGAGAUGGAUCAGGGAUGUUUUGGGAUCAUGGGGAUGGAUCAGUGAUGUUCUGGGAUCAUGGGGAUGGAUCAGUGAUGUUUUGGGAUCAUGGUGAUGGAUCAGUGAUAUUCUGGGCUCAUAGGGAUGGAUCAGGGAUGUUCUGGGAUCAUGGGGAUGGAUCAGGGAUGUUCUGGGAUCAUGGUGAUGGAUCAGGGAUGUUCUGGGAUCAUGGUGAUGGAUCAGGGAUGUUCUUGGGAUCAUGGAGAUGAAUCAGGGAUGUUUUGUGGAUCAUGGUGAUGGAUCAGUGAUGUUCUGGGAUCAUGGUGAUGGAUCAGGGAUGUUUUGGGAUCAUGGUGAUGGAUCAGUGAUGUUUUGGGAUCAUGGUGAUGGAUCAGUGAUGUUCUGGGAUCAUGGUGAUGGAUCAGGGAUGUUCUGGGAUCAUGGAGAUGGAUCAGCCUGGGCUCUGAGCUCAGCCCUUGGCUGGAGGUGCAGGAGCUCAGCCCGAGGCAGGAAUGGCACCAGGGCUGGGAUUAGGGUUGGCCUGGAGGUGUCCCAAGGGGCUUUGAGGUCCUUUCCCACCAAACCAUUCCAUGACUCCAAAUGCCAGGAACCAACAGCAGGAAGAGAUUUCCCUGCACCUGCCUGGGCUGGUUCCACCCCAAAUCUCACCCCAGGCACCACCAGGACAUUGGGAUUUGUCCUGCCCAGCACCACGAGUCCUUCCCACCGGGCUCAGCCACCCCAGGGGAUGGAGCUGCCUCUCCAGGGCACUGCCCUGCCCACGGGAGUGCUUCCCUGAUAAAACCUGGAUCAAUUCCUGACAGAAUGCACCUGACAGGGACAUCCUCCACCUCCACUAAAUAACUGCUGCCUCAUCCAACACCCCCAAAAGUCAUUUUUGGGCAGAGGAUUCCUGCUGCAGUCCAUGAUGGCAAGGACACUGCUCUGGACACAGCGGGGGAUGGUUAUCCCACAGAUUUGGGAUAUUCAGCACCCACAGCUGCUUUUCCCUGCAAAUAUUGCUCAGGAUUGGGCUUUUCAGGGCUGUGCACACAGCAGCUGAGAGUGCUGAGAGCAGAAGGUGGUUCCAGCUGUGUUUCCAGUGUGCACUCACAGCCUGCGCUAUCCCAGCUUUAUUCCAGGUGGGAAUUCCCUGCUGGUGGACAGCAAACCCCAGUUUUGGGCUAAGGAGUGGGAUGAUCACUUUUAAUCCAGAGCCAGGGGAGAAGGGGAUCAGGGGAAAGUGCAGCAAACCCUGCUGCUCUCACUGCUCCCAUCCCAGCCCAGAGCCCUGGCAAGGUCGGGACUGGGACAGGCUGGAGGCACAGGGCAGUCCUGGGCUCUGGGCACCAAAUUCCCACAAAAUUCCCCACAAAAAUUCCCUUCCCUCUGCAAUCCCCCUGCAAUCCCUAUUCCCACCACUCCUGCUCCAAGGCCUCAGGGACCGAGAUGACUUCUCCAAUUCUCCAACCAAAGUGGGACCAAACCCUUCCCUCCUGGAUCCCCUCAGGAUGGAUUUGGACUUGCCAGCCUUCUCCCAGCUCACCCCAUGGGGAUUUCUCUCUCCCAAGGUGGUUUUGUGCCAUUUUCCCUGCCCAGCAGGUCCAGGAGUGAUUUCCCCAGCAGGGCUCUUGGGCACAGGGAGCUGCUGGGCAGGGAAAAGCCCCCGGGAAUGCUCUGGUUUGUCCCCACUGAGGCCACUCAGCCCCAGGGAACGUUCACCAGUGCCAAAAGUGAUGCCUCAGGUUUUAAUUCUUCUAUUUUUCACAUUCUGUGCUGCUUUAAUGGGGGGGUCUGGGCUCCAUAUUAUGGGAUGGAGAGCUCUGUGCACAGAGCAGGGAGACAAAACAAUUCCUGCUCCAGCUGGGCACCAAGGACAAAUGACCCAAAUCUCAGCCCAGGAGCACAAACAGGAGAGAGAAAAACAAGCAGGGUGGGACUUGAAAACCUAAAGCUGGGCUGGGACAAUGAACUGCAAGGUGGGAAUGGAGCAGAGCUGAUCCCAGGGACAGACCCCGUGCCCAGCUGUGCAUUUUGGGGCCAUUUUGGUUCAUCUUGGGUGCAGCCCUGGCUGGGCUCUGGUGCUGCCCAAGGUGGGUCCAUGCAGGAGAUCCUUGGAAUCAAUCCCUGCUUUAUUCUUUAGCUCUGUCCAGCCCCUGUUCUAGGUCAGCCUUCUCAAGGCAUCAAGGGAAGCUCCAGACAAAGCCAUUUCCCACCUCACUGCCUGGAUCCAGCUGCCACAGGCACUCAGGGCACAAAUUCCCACUUUUUCCUUUGGAGCACCCCCUGUUCCCCUCUCCUGUGUGCCAGGAGCUCUUUGCUGAGGGUCAGCCACCCCCAGUGCCAGGGCUGGCAGUGCCAGGGCAGGGUUAGGGAAGCAGCUCCUGUGCCAGGUUACAUUCCCCAACAUGCAGCAGCCCCAAAGCAGCACAAAGCCCACAUGCAAAGCCAGCCCCACCCAGGCACAGGGACAGGGACAGGGACAGGGACAGGGACAGGGACAGGGACAGGGACAGGGACAUGGACUCAGCCAGCAAGGAGCUGCCCAGCCCCGGGGUUCCCAGCUGGAAGCACUGGGUUACUCUGAGGUUACACCAGGGUUACUCCCAGGAGCAGGCUCUGGGUUAGGGAAUGGCAGGGGGGGUGUUAGGAGAGGAGCUGGACACGAGCAGUGCUGGGUCUGGUCUUACCUUCUGCAGGUGGAGUGCAGCCCAAAAAAAGGAGAGAAACACCCCUUUAACAACUUCAGCAGAACAAUGGAGUCAUCAAUGCACACACACCCCCUCCCCCUUCCACCAGAACCACAUCCCAGGGCUUUGGGAUCCCAGGGCUUUGGGAUCCCAGGAAAGGCAGG